ACAUGGCAAUGAUGUUUAAAAGGGAAAGUUACGAACCUGAAUUGGCUCAGUGCUGUGAGAUUUGCAGUCCCAGGCGCGCAAAGAUUUAUCAUA
Ipomoea nil (Japanese morning glory) is the source of this 93-nucleotide long non-coding RNA. RefSeq lists it as uncharacterized. The transcript has 3 exons. NCBI's taxonomy places the organism in Eukaryota, Viridiplantae, Streptophyta, Magnoliopsida, Solanales, Convolvulaceae. The record is from RefSeq and is a predicted model, not a curated record.